Molecule: non-coding RNA, 275 nt
Organism: Pelobates cultripes (western spadefoot toad)
Lineage: Eukaryota; Metazoa; Chordata; Amphibia; Anura; Pelobatidae
Source: the annotation of a GenBank genome assembly
AUUAAGCAGGAAAUAGAAUGCAUCCUAGGAGACCCUGUGGACCUUACAAUGGGAGCCGCUCUCAUACACCACACGGAUAGACCCAUACCCUCUUACAAAAAAUCAAUUCUGCGACACCUGCUAAACGUGGCGAAAUCCCUAAUCCCACUGCACUGGAGGGAUGAACAUAUACCCACAGUGGAACAAUGGAAGACUAAAGUCGAAGACAUAAGAAGGGCAGAAGCCAAAAUAGCUGAAACAAUAGGCAAGGAGGAAAAACAUACAGAGCUGUGGAC